This 1369-nucleotide ribosomal RNA is filed under the name uncultured bacterium. RNAcentral's name for it is "bacterial SSU rRNA". It matches the Rfam family "Bacterial small subunit ribosomal RNA", at positions 28 to 1381 of the family's 1533-position model. The record is from RNAcentral.
GACGAACGCUGGCGGCGUGCCUAAUACAUGCAAGUAGAACGCUGAAGAGAGGAGCUUGCUCUUCUUGGAUGAGUUGCGAACGGGUGAGUAACGCGUAGGUAACCUGCCUUGUAGCGGGGGAUAACUAUUGGAAACGAUAGCUAAUACCGCAUAACAAUGGAUGACACAUGUCAUUUAUUUGAAAGGGGCAAUUGCUCCACUACAAGAUGGACCUGCGUUGUAUUAGCUAGUAGGUGAGGUAACGGCUCACCUAGGCGACGAUACAUAGCCGACCUGAGAGGGUGAUCGGCCACACUGGGACUGAGACACGGCCCAGACUCCUACGGGAGGCAGCAGUAGGGAAUCUUCGGCAAUGGGGGCAACCCUGACCGAGCAACGCCGCGUGAGUGAAGAAGGUUUUCGGAUCGUAAAGCUCUGUUGUAAGUCAAGAACGAGUGUGAGAGUGGAAAGUUCACACUGUGACGGUAGCUUACCAGAAAGGGACGGCUAACUACGUGCCCGCAGCCGCGGUAAUACGUAGGUCCCGAGCGUUGUCCGGAUUUAUUGGGCGUAAAGCGAGCGCAGGCGGUUUGAUAAGUCUGAAGUUAAAGGCUGUGGCUCAACCAUAGUUCGCUUUGGAAACUGUCAAACUUGAGUGCAGAAGGGGAGAGUGGAAUUCCAUGUGUAGCGGUGAAAUGCGUAGAUAUAUGGAGGAACACCGGUGGCGAAAGCGGCUCUCUGGUCUGUAACUGACGCUGAGGCUCGAAAGCGUGGGGAGCGAACAGGAUUAGAUACCCUGGUAGUCCACGCCGUAAACGAUGAGUGCUAGGUGUUGGAUCCUUUCCGGGAUUCAGUGCCGCAGCUAACGCAUUAAGCACUCCGCCUGGGGAGUACGACCGCAAGGUUGAAACUCAAAGGAAUUGACGGGGGCCCGCACAAGCGGUGGAGCAUGUGGUUUAAUUCGAAGCAACGCGAAGAACCUUACCAGGUCUUGACAUCCCGAUGCUAUUUCUAGAGAUAGAAAGUUACUUCGGUACAUCGGUGACAGGUGGUGCAUGGUUGUCGUCAGCUCGUGUCGUGAGAUGUUGGGUUAAGUCCCGCAACGAGCGCAACCCCUAUUGUUAGUUGCCAUCAUUCAGUUGGGCACUCUAGCGAGACUGCCGGUAAUAAACCGGAGGAAGGUGGGGAUGACGUCAAAUCAUCAUGCCCCUUAUGACCUGGGCUACACACGUGCUACAAUGGUUGGUACAACGAGUUGCGAGUCGGUGACGGCAAGCUAAUCUCUUAAAGCCAAUCUCAGUUCGGAUUGUAGGCUGCAACUCGCCUACAUGAAGUCGGAAUCGCUAGUAAUCGCGGAUCAGCACGCCGCGGUGAAUACGUUCCCGGGCCU